AUGAACGCUGGCGGCGUGCCUCAUACAUGCAAGUCGAGCGAACAGACGAGGAGCUUGCUCCUCUGACGUUAGCGGCGGACGGGUGAGUAACACGUGGAUAACCUACCUAUAAGACUGGGAUAACUUCGGGAAACCGGAGCUAAUACCGGAUAAUAUAUUGAACCGCAUGGUUCAAUAGUGAAAGACGGUUUUGCUGUCACUUAUAGAUGGAUCCGCGCCGCAUUAGCUAGUUGGUAAGGUAACGGCUUACCAAGGCAACGAUGCGUAGCCGACCUGAGAGGGUGAUCGGCCACACUGGAACUGAGACACGGUCCAGACUCCUACGGGAGGCAGCAGUAGGGAAUCUUCCGCAAUGGGCGAAAGCUUGACGGAGCAACGCCGCGUGAGUGAUGAAGGUCUUCGGAUCGUAAAACUCUGUUAUUAGGGAAGAACAAAUGUGUAAGUAACUAUGCACGUCUGGACGGUACCUAAGCAGAAAGCCACGGCUAACUACGU
This 495-nucleotide ribosomal RNA is filed under the name uncultured bacterium. Its description in RNAcentral is "partial 16S ribosomal RNA". It matches the Rfam family "Bacterial small subunit ribosomal RNA", at positions 29 to 506 of the family's 1533-position model. The record is from RNAcentral.